Molecule: ribosomal RNA, 468 nt
Filed under: uncultured bacterium
Lineage: Bacteria
Description: partial 16S ribosomal RNA
Rfam family: Bacterial small subunit ribosomal RNA
Source: RNAcentral
GACGAACGCUGGCGGCGUGCUUAACACAUGCAAGUCGAACGGAAAGGCCCUGCUUUUGUGGGGUGCUCGAGUGGCGAACGGGUGAGUAACACGUGAGUAACCUGCCCUUGACUUUGGGAUAACUUCAGGAAACUGGGGCUAAUACCGGAUAGGAGCUCCUGCUGCAUGGUGGGGGUUGGAAAGUUUCGGCGGUUGGGGAUGGACUCGCGGCGGAUCAGCUUGUGGGUGGGGUAGUGGCUUACCAGGGCUUUGACGGGUAGCCGGCCUGAGAGGGUGACCGGCCACAUUGGGACUGAGAUGCGGCACAGACUCCUACGGGAGGCAGCAGUGGGGAAUAUUGCACAAUGGGCGGAAGCCUGAUGCAGCAACGCCGCGUGCGGGAUGACGGCCUUCGGGUUGUAAACCGCUUUCGCCUGUGACGAAGCGUGAGUGACGGUAAUGGGUAAAGAAGCACCGGCUAACUACGUG